UCGAGCGGGAAUCUUGGAAUGAUUCUUCGGAGGAAUGAAGAGAUGGAGAGCGGCGGACGGGUGAGUAACGCGUAGGCAACCUGCCCUUUGCAGAGGGAUAGCCACUGGAAACGGUGAUUAAAACCUCAUAAUACUGAAGGUUCACAUGGACAUUUGGUCAAAGAUUUAUCGGCAAAGGAUGGGCCUGCGUCUGAUUAGCUAGUUGGUGAGGUAACGGCUCACCAAGGCAACGAUCAGUAGCCGACCUGAGAGGGUAAUCGGCCACAUUGGAACUGAGACACGGUCCAAACUCCUACGGGAGGCAGCAGUGGGGAAUAUUGCACAAUGGGGGAAACCCUGAUGCAGCAACGCCGCGUGAAGGAAGAAGGCCUUUGGGUCGUAAACUUCUGUCCUAAGGGAAGAUAAUGACGGUACCUUUGGAGGAAGCCCCGGCUAACUACGUGCCAGCAGCCGCGGUAAUACGUAGGGGGCGAGCGUUAUCCGGAAUUAUUGGGCGUAAAGAGUUCGUAGGCGGUUUUUUAAGCGCGGGGUGAAAGGCAAUGGCUUAACCAUUGUUAGCCCUGCGAACUGGGAGACUUGAGUGCAGGAGAGGAAAGCGGAAUUCCUAGUGUAGCGGUGAAAUGCGUAGAUAUUAGGAGGAACACCAGUGGCGAAGGCGGCUUUCUGGACUGUAACUGACGCUGAGGAACGAAAGUGUGGGGAGCAAACAGGAUUAGAUACCCUGGUAGUCCACACCGUAAACGAUGAGCACUAGGUGUCGGGGUCGCAAGACUUCGGUGCCCGGAGUUAACGCAUUAAGUGCUCCGCCUGGGGAAGUACGCACGCAAGUGUG
This 832-nucleotide ribosomal RNA is filed under the name uncultured bacterium. Its description in RNAcentral is "bacterial SSU rRNA". It matches the Rfam family "Bacterial small subunit ribosomal RNA", at positions 62 to 896 of the family's 1533-position model. The record is from RNAcentral.